RNAcentral lists this ribosomal RNA (253 nucleotides) under uncultured bacterium. RNAcentral's name for it is "partial 16S ribosomal RNA". It matches the Rfam family "Bacterial small subunit ribosomal RNA", at positions 524 to 776 of the family's 1533-position model. The record is from RNAcentral.
UACGAAGGGGGCUAGCGUUGUUCGGAAUUACUGGGCGUAAAGCGCACGUAGGCGGACGUGUAAGUCAGGGGUGAAAUCCCGGGGCUCAACCCCGGAACUGCCUUUGAUACUGCACAGCUUGAGUCCGGAAGAGGUGGGUGGAAUUCCUAGUGUAGAGGUGAAAUUCGUAGAUAUUAGGAGGAACACCAGUGGCGAAGGCGGCCAACUGGUCCAUUUCUGACGCUGAGGUGCGAAAGCGUGGGGAGCAAACAGG